AUUGAACGCUGGCGGCAGGCCUAACACAUGCAAGUCGAGCGGCAGCGGAAAGUAGCUUGCUACUUUGCCGGCGAGCGGCGGACGGGUGAGUAAUGUCUGGGAAACUGCCUGAUGGAGGGGGAUAACUACUGGAAACGGUAGCUAAUACCGCAUAACGUCGCAAGACCAAAGAGGGGGACCUUCGGGCCUCUUGCCAUCAGAUGUGCCCAGAUGGGAUUAGCUAGUAGGUGGGGUAACGGCUCACCUAGGCGACGAUCCCUAGCUGGUCUGAGAGGAUGACCAGCCACACUGGAACUGAGACACGGUCCAGACUCCUACGGGAGGCAGCAGUGGGGAAUAUUGCACAAUGGGCGCAAGCCUGAUGCAGCCAUGCCGCGUGUAUGAAGAAGGCCUUCGGGUUGUAAAGUACUUUCAGCGGGGAGGAAGGUGUUGAGGUUAAUAACCUCAGAAAUUGACGUUACCCGCAGAAGAAGCACCGGCUAACUCCGUG
This 490-nucleotide ribosomal RNA is filed under the name uncultured bacterium. RNAcentral describes it as "partial 16S ribosomal RNA". It matches the Rfam family "Bacterial small subunit ribosomal RNA", at positions 30 to 507 of the family's 1533-position model. The record is from RNAcentral.